GAUGAACGCUGGCGGCGUGCCUAAUACAUGCAAGUCGAGCGAACGGACGAGAAGCUUGCUUCUCUGAUGUUAGCGGCGGACGGGUGAGUAACACGUGGAUAACCUACCUAUAAGACUGGGAUAACUUCGGGAAACCGGAGCUAAUACCGGAUGAUAUUUUGAACCGCAUGGUUCAAAAGUGAAAGACGGUCUUGCUGUCACUUAUAGAUGGAUCCGCGCUGCAUUAGCUAGUUGGUAAGGUAACGGCUUACCAAGGCAACGAUGCAUAGCCGACCUGAGAGGGUGAUCGGCCACACUGGAACUGAGACACGGUCCAGACUCCUACGGGAGGCAGAGGUAGGGAAUCUUCCCAAUGGGCGAAAGCCUGACGGAGCAACGCCGCGUGAGUGAUGAAGGUCUUCGGAUCGUAAAACUCUGUUAUUAGGGAAGAACAUAUGUGUAAGUAACUGUGCACAUCUUGACGGUACCUAAUCAGAAAGCCACGGCUAACUACGUG
RNAcentral lists this ribosomal RNA (496 nucleotides) under uncultured bacterium. RNAcentral describes it as "partial 16S ribosomal RNA". It matches the Rfam family "Bacterial small subunit ribosomal RNA", at positions 28 to 507 of the family's 1533-position model. The record is from RNAcentral.